CCUGACUGCUAUCGGAUUGAUACUAAGCCAUGCGAGUCAUUGUAGCAAUACAAGGCAGACGGCUCAGUAACGCGUAGUCAACCUAACCUAUGGACGGGAAUAACCUCGGGAAACUGAGAAUAAUGCCCGAUAGAACACUAUACCUGGAAUGGUUUGUGUUCCAAAUGAUUUAUCGCCGUAGGAUGGGACUGCGGCCUAUCAGUUUGUUGGUGAGGUAAUGGCCCACCAAGACUAUUACAGGUACGGGCUCUGAGAGGAGUAGCCCGGAGAUGGGUACUGAGACACGGACCCAGGCCCUAUGGGGCGCAGCAGGCGAGAAAACUUUGCAAUGUGCGAAAGCACGACAAGGUUAAUCCGAGUGAUUUGUGCUAAACGAAUCUUUUGUUAGUCCUAGAAACACUAACGAAUAAGGGGUGGGCAAGUUCUGGUGUCAGCCGCCGCGGUAAAACCAGCACCUCAAGUGGUCAGGAUGAUUAUUGGGCCUAAAGCAUCCGUAGCCGGCUCUGUAAGUUUUCGGUUAAAUCUGUAUGCUCAACAUACAGGCUGCCGGGAAUACUGCAGAGCUAGGGAGUGGGAGAGGUAGACGGUACUCGGUAGGAAGGGGUAAAAUCCUUUGAUCUAUUGAUGACCACCUGUGGCGAAGGCGGUCUACCAGAACACGUCCGACGGUGAGGGAUGAAAGCUGGGGGAGCAAACCGGAUUAGAUACCCGGGUAGUCCCAGCUGUAAACUAUGCAAACUCAGUGAUGCAUUGACUUGUGGUCAAUGCAGUGCUGCAGGGAAGCCGUUAAGUUUGCCGCCUGGGAAGUACGUACGCAAGUAUGAAACUUAAAGGAAUUGGCGGGGGAGCACCACAAGGGGUGAAGCCUGCGGUUC
This 875-nucleotide ribosomal RNA is filed under the name uncultured Nitrososphaerota archaeon. RNAcentral's name for it is "bacterial SSU rRNA". It matches the Rfam family "Archaeal small subunit ribosomal RNA", at positions 21 to 903 of the family's 1478-position model. Lineage: Archaea; Thermoproteati; Nitrososphaerota. The record is from RNAcentral.